AUUUUCUGCCACCGAAUACGUUAUACAUGGGAUAAUGGAAUAGGACCCUGUCCUCCUAUUUUCAGUUGGUUUUGGCAGCGCGAGGACUAGGGUAAUGAUUAAUAGGGAUAGUUGGGGGCAUUAAUAUUUAAUUGUCAGAGGUGAAAUUCUUGGAUUUAUGAAAGAUUAACUUCUGCGAAAGCAUCUGCCAAGGAUGUUUUCAUUAAUCAAGAACGAAAGUUAGGGGAUCGAAGACGAUCAGAUACCGUCGUAGUCUUAACCAUAAACGAUGCCGACCAGCGAUUAGGAGACGUUGAAUACAAAACACCACCAUCGGUUGCGGUCGUCCUUGGCGUCUCGGUUUCGGCCGGGGCGCGGGGAUGGCUUAGCCCGGUGGCACCGGUGAAUGACUCCCCUAGCAGCUUGUGAGAAUUACGCACAAAACAUGGGUGCGGACGGGGGCGAUAUAACUAUAACCCCGCACCCCUCUGUGAUGAGAUCUCUGCGGGUUCACCUACAGAGACCUUGUGACGACUUUUUUUCCUCAUCAUUGNGAGGAAGA
This 541-nucleotide ribosomal RNA is filed under the name Acanthamoeba genotype T4. RNAcentral describes it as "bacterial SSU rRNA". The stretch from base 1 to 345 matches the Rfam family "Eukaryotic small subunit ribosomal RNA", at positions 784 to 1116 of the family's 1831-position model. Lineage: Eukaryota; Discosea; Longamoebia; Acanthamoebidae. The record is from RNAcentral.